Molecule: transfer RNA, 74 nt
Filed under: Candidatus Diapherotrites archaeon CG08_land_8_20_14_0_20_30_16
Lineage: Archaea; Nanobdellati; Candidatus Iainarchaeota
Description: tRNA-Lys
Rfam family: tRNA
About the family: Transfer RNA (tRNA) molecules are approximately 80 nucleotides in length. Their secondary structure includes four short double-helical elements and three loops (D, anti-codon, and T loops). Further hydrogen bonds mediate the characteristic L-shaped molecular structure. tRNAs have two regions of fundamental functional importance: the anti-codon, which is responsible for specific mRNA codon recognition, and the 3' end, to which the tRNAs corresponding amino acid is attached (by aminoacyl-tRNA synthetases). tRNAs cope with the degeneracy of the genetic code in two manners: having more than one tRNA (with a specific anti-codon) for a particular amino acid; and 'wobble' base-pairing, i.e. permitting non-standard base-pairing at the 3rd anti-codon position.
Source: RNAcentral
GGCCUCUUAGCUCAGCCUGGUAGAGCAUCGGGCUUUUAACCCGAGUGUCGUGGGUUCGAAUCCCACAGAGGUCA